UCAGGAUUAACGCUGGCGGCGUGCCUAAUACAUGCAAGUCGAAUGGUAGCAAUACCAUGGCGAACGGGUGAGUAACACGUAGGUAACCUGUCUUUAAGCCGAGGAUAACCAUUGGAAACGAUGGAUAAUACUGGAUAGGACAUUUGAAGGCAUCUUUAGAUGUUUAAAGAUUUAUCACUUAGAGAGGGGCCUGCGGCGCAUUAGCUAGUUGGUGAGGUGAAGGCUUACCAAGGCGAUGAUGCGUAGCCGGACUGAGAGGUUGAACGGCCACAAUGGAACUGAGAACGGUCCAUACUCCUACGGGAGGCAGCAGUAGGGAAUUUUCGGCAAUGGGCGGAAGCCUGAACCCCGAGCAACGCCGCGUGAACGAAGAAGUAUUUCGGUAUGUAAAGUUCUUUUAUUAGGGACGAAAAGACAGAUUGACGGUACCUAAUGAAUAAGCUCCGGCUAACUACGUGCCAGCAGCUGC
RNAcentral lists this ribosomal RNA (469 nucleotides) under uncultured bacterium. RNAcentral describes it as "bacterial SSU rRNA". It matches the Rfam family "Bacterial small subunit ribosomal RNA", at positions 24 to 518 of the family's 1533-position model. The record is from RNAcentral.